CAACUCCCAUUGGCCAGGAAUCACAGCCAGUGGGAGCUGCAGGGGCGGUGCCUGCGGACAGGGGAAUACGCAGAGCAGCCUGGCUGCGCCUCCACGUAGGAGCUGGAGGAGGGACAUGCCGCUGUUUCCAGGACCUGAUUGAGGUGAGCACCUCCUGGAGCCUGACCCUUGGCCCCAGCCCUGAUCCUCCUCCCGCCCUCUGAACCCCUCGGUCCCAGCCUGGAGCACCCUCCUGCACCCCAAACCCCUCAUCCCCAGAGCCCGCAGCCAGAGUCCUCCCGCCCCCCAACCCCCAAUUUCAUGAGCAUUCAUGGCCCACCAUACAAUUUCCAUACCCAGAUGUGCCGUCCCCUGCUCUAGAGUCUCGUAUACUUACUGGUAAGAGUAUAAAGGACAAUGUUUCAGAGAGCAUUUGUAACAAGGUAUCACCAUGUCCUUUUGUCUAGUCACAUUGUAGGUAGCAGAAUGCUGGCAGUGGUAAAUGUAGCAGGCAAUGAAAAGAUAAAGAGAUAUAUAUACUUUUCCUCAGGUUCUUAGCGAACUAAAAUGGGCCAGAAUUGGCUGCGUCUCAGAACUUGAAUUUCUUUCGCAUGCUGUCUUAUUCUGGAAGAUCACUUCAAUUGUUGUAUAAUUCUAGUAAGGUUUCUUAAUAUGUUUAAGUAAAUAGUACAAAAAAGAUUGAGUGAAUUAUGUCUACAGUAUUGUGAAGAAUACAAAAUUUAGUACUGUGAUAAGCCUGAAAAAUCACUCAGAGCGUCAGGAGCUCGCAGCCCAGCCGGAGCCAGCCGCACCACAUGCCAGGAGCGGUGGACCAGAGCACUGGCGGCGUGGUGAGGUGAGGCUGCGGGAGAGAGGGGACAGCAGGGGAGGGGCCGGGGCUGGCUAGCCUCCCCGGCUGGGAGCUCAAGGGCUGGGCAGGAUGGUCCCAUGGGCUGGAAUUGGUGCACGGGCCGUAAUUUGCCCACCUCUGACCUAGAUGCAUCUACAGCAGGGGUUAGCUUGACCUAACUAUACUGCCCAGGGCACAAAAUUUUUCACAGCCCCAAGCAAUGUCAGUCUAGGUUGAUCUAAUUUUUAGGAGUAGACCAGACCGAAGUUAUUACAGGGGGAAUUGGUAACGACCCUUAUACUUAAAUUGCCUAACACUUUCCUCUGUAAAGAACUCUCAGGACAUUUCUAUCACUUUUCUAUUGUUUGAGGUGAACUUUUGAUAUUUGACAUGGGGGCAUGCCAUUAGGCUAGGGAAGUACCUUUUCUUUGUCCCAUGAAAUUGUGUUCAGCUUUUGCUAUGUUACAGGCUGUUUAGAAAAUGCCACCUUUUGCUUGCAUUCCUCAGGAAAAUGUUGGCAGCAUGCUCGUGGCUCAUGCUGUUGCUGCUACUACAACAGCAGACAUACUGGGAACUAGUAGGAGCUUCCAAAGCAGCUGGAGAGGGGAAGGGGAAGAGCUGAGGUCCCCUCACCUGGACAUGGCUCAUGGCCCCAGUGUCCCAUACCCUCCUAUGGAGGCACCACAUGAGGCGGGAACCAGGCUGGGCUCUGCCUUCCUCCUCAUCCACCCACAGAUUCAGCAAACAGCCCAAGUGGCCCACUUCCUUGGCCCUUUUCUAGGGACACCAGGAGCAGCAGGAGCUCCCCGAAUUUCAGGGGGAUGGGAAAGCCAGACCAGCUGGGCUACCCCUUCAACCACUCCCCAAGCCGAUAGACCCAUCCUGAAUAACCACCUUUUGCUGCUGCAUGUUAAUGAAGUUAAUUCUGUGGUUUAAGGGGUUGCAGUCUCUACUCCACUGCUGAAAGGCUCAGGGUUAAACACUGCAUGAUAGGGAUUGUUACAGUUGCACAUAAAAACAAAUUAUAUUACCUUUUUCCUUGACUAAAAACUUAGGAAAUUAUGUAGAAAAAACCCUAAAUUAGAGAUCAUUAUUUAGGUAGCAAAGUCAAGCACUUGAAAGUUAGAAAAUGUCAGAUUUAUGGUUGUCUGUGCAACCUUAUUUGACCCCUUGUGCAUAUGCAUUAUGGUUGUCUUUAACUGCAUGAUCACAUGCUGUCUUUUCCACAGAACUCUGCCUCAUUCAGUGCAUAGGAAAGAUGCACAAUGGAGGCAGAACUUAGUUUGCACAGACAACCCUAAAUCUAGUAUUUCCUAAUUUACGAAUGCUUGACUGGCAACCUAAGUGUUCUUUUAACAUAGCCUCUUUUUUUUGUAUGUAUAAUAAAAAAGUACAUUUAGCAUCUAAUACGUGUAAUGCCCUGUUAUCAGAAUGUUUUCUCCUGUCACCCAAACUACAGCAGCAUGACAGGGAUGUAUAAGUCUCUCUUGCGUUUACAGAGAAUGUGGUUCUACUAACAUUUUAAACGGUCUCCCCAAUGAAGACAUAGGGAAAGAUAUAAUCGACUGAAAAAUAGGAGUAAUCUAGCAGGUGAUACUAUUGCUACGUUGCUUCUAUUGUCUGAGCUCAUUGCACAACCCCAAAGGCUCCUUGGCUCCCUCCACAUCCCCCUCUCCCCAACAAGCUUUCCCCAGCCCGCAUCUCCUCUAUGCCAGGGGCUGUGUGGUCCCCUUUCCCCUCAUGCCAGGUCCACCAUUCUCCCCUUCCAGCUCCUCCCUUCCCCCCGCCAGGGUUCUGUGUGCUCCCAUUUCCCCUGCCAUUCUUAUUCAUCCUUUUUCUGUUUCUUUUAUUUUUUUUCAGAGUUGUCAACAUUUUUAAACUGUAUUGGGAGGAUGGGCAGAGUUAAGGGGAGGGUAUUGUAAAACUGGAAGGUGAUAAUGGCUGCCAUCAACUGGUUCUUUGCUCCUGUGGACAGUUGUGGAGGUGGCUGAAGCUGCUAGUUCUGCAAACCCAUUCUGUGUCUCCCAUUUCUCCCUUUGUUUUUUCCGGUUGUCACCAAAAUGAGUAGGGUUCUGCCUGUUGAUACUUAGUACACUCCCUGAAAAUUUUGGAAUUGAUUGGACACAGCAUUCAGAAGUUAUCGUGUAACAUGUCCAAAUGCAGAAAUACCAUCGAGAUGAGUGCAAGCCCUCAUAACUCUGCCAGUAAAAAUCAGACUCUAUGCUUAAUCAUGUUGAUGCUGUUAAGGUGAAUUUUAUUACAAAUUGGAAUUAUAUAAGAAAAAGGAAAGAUGGUGUUUUAUAUCAACAUUACUUUACUGUGAUGGAGAAUUCUUGGGAAGAAAAUGGAUGUCCUCAAUCCCAAAUGUGAAAGCAAAUAGUGCUGCUCCAGCUGAGGAGGAAAAAACUGGAUGACUCCGAGGAGGAGAGGACUCACAAGAGCAUGGGGGGCCACAGAGGGGAACUGUUGCUGGCGUCUACAUUUAUCCAGAAAGAUAAUGCAACUGCUGUGGAAGAGAUAGCAGCAAGUAUGGAAGGAACUGAUGAAGUUGAAGUUAGGCAGGAAAGUGUAAAGAAGAUGGAUUUUUAGUUACAGCAGCUUCUCCAAAUGUGCAAGUGGCAACAUAUGCAGCUCCUCAGUGCUGGACUUUUGAGCAUACAAAAUCCAUAUGAAGAAUCUGCUAGUAGCUAUUUGAGUCUACUGCAGACUUCUACAAAAUUUUGUAGAUGGUUCAAGAGUCACUUUUGUUGACAGUGUUGACUGACAUAUUUGCAAACAAUGCUGUUUUCAUCUGUUUCUUGUAGGGUUAGAUUACAUCUGUAUGUGUUGAAAUAAUUUUUUUAAAUUACAUAUUUUGGCACCUGUUUGGAUAUUAAAACAGUAUAUUUGAAUGUACUUUUUAGUUUAAGAAAUUAUAAAUGUUCAAUAAAAUUGAAUUAUGCAUCUAA
Caretta caretta (loggerhead turtle) is the source of this 3777-nucleotide non-coding RNA. The record is from RefSeq and is a predicted model, not a curated record. Lineage: Eukaryota; Metazoa; Chordata; Testudines; Cheloniidae.